GUCUGCAACCCGACUCCACGAAGUUGGAUUCGCUAGUAAUCGCGCAUCAGCCAUGGCGCGGUGAAUACGUUCCCGGGCCUUGUACACACCGCCCGUCAAGCCAUGGGAGCCGGGGGGCGCCUGAAGUCCGGGACCGCGAGGACCGGCCUAGGGCGAAACUGGUAACUGGGGCUAAGUCGUAACAAGGUACC
Molecule: ribosomal RNA, 191 nt
Filed under: uncultured bacterium
Lineage: Bacteria
Description: partial 16S ribosomal RNA
Rfam family: Bacterial small subunit ribosomal RNA
Source: RNAcentral